This 434-nucleotide ribosomal RNA is filed under the name uncultured bacterium. RNAcentral describes it as "bacterial SSU rRNA". It matches the Rfam family "Bacterial small subunit ribosomal RNA", at positions 29 to 508 of the family's 1533-position model. The record is from RNAcentral.
AGCGAACGCUGGCGGCAGGCCUAACACAUGCAAGUCGAACGGACCCUUCGGGGUUAGUGGCGGACGGGUGAGUAACACGUGGGAACGUGCCUUUAGGUUCGGAAUAGCUCCUGGAAACGGGUGGUAAUGCCGAAUGUGCCCUUCGGGGGAAAGAUUUAUCGCCUUUAGAGCGGCCCGCGUCUGAUUAGCUUGUUGGUGGGGUAAUGGCCCACCAAGGCUACGAUCAGUAGCUGGUCUGAGAGGAUGACCAGCCACAUUGGGACUGAGACACGGCCCAAACUCCUACGGGAGGCAGCAGUGGGGAAUCUUGCGCAAUGGGCGAAAGCCUGACGCAGCCAUGCCGCGUGUAUGAUGAAGGUCUUAGGAUUGUAAAAUACUUUCACCGGUGAAGAUAAUGACUGUAGCCGGAGAAGAAGCCCCGGCUAACUUCGUGC